GAUGAAGAACGUAGCGAAAUGCGAUACGUAAUGUGAAUUGCAGAAUUCAGUGAAUCAUCGAGUCUUUGAACGCACAUUGCGCCCGUCAGUAUUCUGGCGGGCAUGCCUGUUCGAGCGUCAUUACGCCCCUCAAGUCCCCUGUGGACUUGGUGUUGGGGAUCGGCGAGGCUGGUUUUCCAGCACAGCCGUCCCUUAAAUUAAUUGGCGGUCUCGCCGUGGCCCUCCUCUGCGCAGUAGUAAAACACUCGCAACAGGAGCCCGGCGCGGUCCACUGCCGUAAAACCCCCCAACUUUUUAUAGUUGACCUCGAAUCAGGUAGGACUACCCGCUGAACUUAAGCAUAUCAAUAAGCGGAGGA
RNAcentral lists this unclassified non-coding RNA (358 nucleotides) under soil metagenome. Its description in RNAcentral is "partial contains 5.8S ribosomal RNA, internal transcribed spacer 2, and large subunit ribosomal RNA". The stretch from base 1 to 120 matches the Rfam family "5.8S ribosomal RNA", at positions 35 to 154 of the family's 154-position model. The record is from RNAcentral.